Molecule: ribosomal RNA, 516 nt
Filed under: uncultured bacterium
Lineage: Bacteria
Description: partial 16S ribosomal RNA
Rfam family: Bacterial small subunit ribosomal RNA
Source: RNAcentral
GAUGAACGCUGGCGGCGUGCCUAAUACAUGCAAGUCGAACGCAUUGAGAAAAGUGCUUGCACUUUUCAAUUUGAGUGGCGAACGGGUGAGUAACACGUGGGCAGCCUACCUGAUAGCGGGGGAUAACGAGUGGAAACAUUCGCUAAUACCGCAUAACAAUAGAGAAGGCAUCUUCUUUAUUUAAAAGGCGCUUUCAAGCGUCACUAUCAGAUGGGCCCGCGGUGCAUUAGUUAGUUGGUGGGGUGAAGGCCUACCAAGACGAUGAUGCAUAGCCGAGUUGAGGGACUGAUCGGCCACAUUGGGACUGAGACACGGCCCAAACUCCUACGGGAGGCUGCAGUAGGGAAUCUUCCACAAUGGACGAAAGUCUGAUGGAGCAACGCGGCGUGUGUGAUGAAGGCUUUCGGGUCGUAAAGCACUGUUGUAUGGGAAGAAAUGCUAGGCUAGGAAAUGAGCUUAGUUUGACGGUACCAUACCAGAAAGGGACGGCUAAAUACGUGCCAGCCGCCGCAGUAA